CUGAAUUGGAGGGGCUGAAGUUAUAGCUCUGUACUGGUCGCUAACUUCAGUUUACGUCGAAACGAAUUGUGAUCUGCAUACUUGCUGACUCUGGUCUCUGCUUGCUACUUCAUUCUGGGAGAUUCCAUCAUGUACUAUAAUGGUCAGACCAUGAUUUGGACAAAGCCCUUUUUUCGUUUGCAAAUUUUGGACUGAUAAUGAUACAACAGAAAAUUGAUCUUUAUCGAUAUUGGAAACAAAAAAAUUAUAACAGUUUUGGGGAGGACUAAGAAUACUGACUUGGACAGGAAUACAGCUUGACAAAAAUAAAAAUUCACAAUUCAAAACCAAAAAACAUUUUUAAUGCAUUGCAAGAAACUUUCUACUCAAUCACACAUUCCAAAAUUAAGGGUUAGUCCUUUGAUUAAACACAAACAUGUAGUUGAUUUGCAAUUGAACAUAAGUUUCUUGCAAUGCCCCAUAAUUAUAUUUUGUUCUCAAGCAACUCUGUUAUGUUAUCUAAUGUGCUGAAGGUUAAGUGCCAUGUAUGUUCACAAUUUUUUUUCCGAAAGGUAUAAUAUAUUUGUCCUUUUAAACGGUAUUUGAAUGUGGUUACGCCUUGUUUUUGUUUUCCACAGUAAUUAUUGCAUAUAUGAACAGAAGUGAAAUAUUUGUUGUGAAGCACUGUAUGAAUGUUGUGUGAUCAUGGAGCUAUGGUGUGAUGGUAUUAUAAUUAA
This is a long non-coding RNA of Lytechinus pictus (painted urchin), 716 nucleotides long. RefSeq lists it as uncharacterized. The transcript has 2 exons. The record is from RefSeq and is a predicted model, not a curated record. NCBI's taxonomy places the organism in Eukaryota, Metazoa, Echinodermata, Echinoidea, Temnopleuroida, Toxopneustidae.